CCUGGUGGCUCUCAGCGAAGUGGCCAGACCCGAUCCCAUCCCGAACUCGGCCGUCAAACGCUUCCGCGCCAAUGGUACUCUGUCUCAAGACACGGGAGAGUAGGUCGCCGCCAGGC
Molecule: ribosomal RNA, 116 nt
Filed under: Rhodoblastus acidophilus
Lineage: Bacteria; Pseudomonadati; Pseudomonadota; Alphaproteobacteria; Hyphomicrobiales; Rhodoblastaceae
Source: RNAcentral